Molecule: ribosomal RNA, 253 nt
Filed under: uncultured bacterium
Lineage: Bacteria
Description: partial 16S ribosomal RNA
Rfam family: Bacterial small subunit ribosomal RNA
Source: RNAcentral
UACGUAGGGACCGAGCGUUGUCCGGAAUCAUUGGGCGUAAAGAGCGUGUAGGCGGCCACUUAAGUCCUGCGUGAAAUCUUGCGGCUCAACCGCAAGCGGUCGUGGGAAACUGGGUGGCUAGAGUGCGGGAGAGGAGACUGGAAUUCCUGGUGUAGCGGUGAAAUGCGCAGAUAUCAGGAGGAACACCGGUGGCGAAGGCGGGUCUCUGGGCCGAUAUCGACGCUGAUGAGCGAAAGCUAGGGGAGCAAACGGG